GAUUAACGCUGGCGGCAUGCCUUACACAUGCAAGUCGAACGGCAGCACGGGUGCUUGCACCUGGUGGCGAGUGGCGAACGGGUGAGUAAUACAUCGGAACGUACCUUAUCGUGGGGGAUAACGCAGCGAAAGCUGUGCUAAUACCGCAUACGCCCUGAGGGGGAAAGCGGGGGAUCGCAAGACCUCGCGCGAUUAGAGCGGCCGAUGCCUGAUUAGCUAGUUGGUGGGGUAAAAGCCCACCAAGGCGACGAUCAGUAGCUGGUCUGAGAGGACGGGCGGCCACGAGUGGACUGAGACACGGCCCAGACUCCUACGGGAGGCAGCAGUGGGGAAUUUUGGACAAUGGGGGCAACCCUGAUCCAGUAAUGCCGCGUGAGUGAAGAAGGCCUUCGGGUUGUAAAGCUCUUUUGUCAGGGAAGAAACACCGGCUCUAACACAGUCCGGGAAUGACGGUACCUGAGGAAUAAGCACCGGCUAACUGCGUGCCAGCAGCCGCCGUAA
This 501-nucleotide ribosomal RNA is filed under the name uncultured bacterium. Its description in RNAcentral is "partial 16S ribosomal RNA". It matches the Rfam family "Bacterial small subunit ribosomal RNA", at positions 28 to 523 of the family's 1533-position model. The record is from RNAcentral.